GACGAACGCUGGCGGCGUGCUUAACACAUGCAAGUCGAACGGAAAGGCCCUGCUUUUGUGGUGUUCUCGAGUGGCGAACGGGUGAGUAACACGUGAGUAACCUGCCCUUGACUUUGGGAUAACUUCAGGAAACUGGGGCUACUACCGUAUAGGAUCUCCUGCUGCAUUGUGGGGGUUGGAAAGUUUCGGCGGUUGGGGAUGGACUCGCGGCUUAUCAGCUUGUUGGUGGGGUAGUGGCUUACCAAGGCUUUGACGGGUAGCCGGCCUGAGAGGGUGACCGGCCACAUGGGGACUGAGAUACGGACCAGACUGCUACGGGAGGCAGCAGUGGGGAAUAUUGCACAAUGGGCGGAAGCCUGAUGAAGAAACGCCGCGUGCGGGAUGACGGCCUUCGGGGUGUAAACAGCUUUCGCCUGUGACGAAGCGUGAGUGACGGUAAUGGGUAAAGAAGCACCGGCUAACUACGUG
Molecule: ribosomal RNA, 468 nt
Filed under: uncultured bacterium
Lineage: Bacteria
Description: partial 16S ribosomal RNA
Rfam family: Bacterial small subunit ribosomal RNA
Source: RNAcentral